RNAcentral lists this ribosomal RNA (117 nucleotides) under Sinocyclocheilus grahami. Lineage: Eukaryota; Metazoa; Chordata; Actinopteri; Cypriniformes; Cyprinidae. The record is from RNAcentral.
GCCAACAGCCAUAUCACCCUGCAGCCCAAGACUGGUUGCCCACUGAAGCUAAGCAGGGUUGAGCCUGGUAAGUACCUGGAUGGGAGGCCUCCUGGGAAAACUAGGUUGCUGCUGGAA